AGCUCCAGUAGCGUAUAUUAAAGUUGUUGCAGUUAAAAAGCUCGUAGUUGGAUUUCUGGUUGACCGAGUUGGCCCGGUUUCUUUUUGAAGCUGAGUGCUGAUUGUGCGUCUACCAUCCUUCCAGAAAACUGUUGCCUACCGCUUAACGCGGCCGGGCGGAGUGAUCUGGAUCUUUUACUUUGAAAAAAUUAGAGUGUUCCAAGCAGGCUUACGCUUUGAAUACAUUAGCAUGGAAUAAUAACAUAGGACUUCGGCCCUAUUUUGUUGGUUUCUAGGACUGAAGUAAUGAUUGACAGGGAUAGUUGGGGGUGCUAGUAUUCAGCGGCCAGAGGUGAAAUUCUUGGAUUCGCUGAAGACUAACUACUGCGAAAGCAUUCACCAAGGAUGUCUUCUUUA
Molecule: ribosomal RNA, 396 nt
Filed under: Paulinella sp.
Lineage: Eukaryota; Cercozoa; Imbricatea; Euglyphida; Paulinellidae
Description: partial small subunit ribosomal RNA
Rfam family: Eukaryotic small subunit ribosomal RNA
Source: RNAcentral